UUGAUCCUGGCUCAGAACGAACGCUGGCGGCAGGCCUAACACAUGCAAGUCGAACGGACUCUUCGGAGUUAGUGGCGCACGGGUGCGGAACACGUGGGAACAUACCCUUUGGUAAGGAAUAAUAGCUGGAAACGGCUACUAAUACCUUAUAAUCUUCGGUCCAAAGAUUUAUCGCCAAAGGAUUGGCCCGCGCAUGAUUAGAUAGUUGGUGAGGUAAUGGCUCACCAAGUCUACGAUCAUUAGCUGGUCUGAGAGGACGAUCAGCCACACUGGAACUGAGACACGGUCCAGACUCCUACGGGAGGCAGCAGUGAGGAAUAUUGCACAAUGGGGGAAACCCUGAUGCAGCCAUGCCGCGUGUAUGAAGAAGGCCUUAGGGUUGUAAAGUACUUUCAAUAGUGAAGAUUAUGACGGUAGCUAUAGAAGAAGCCCCGGCUAAAUUCGUGCCAGCAGCCGCGGUAAUACGAAUGGAGCAAGCGUUGUUCGGAAUCACUGGGCUUAAAGCGUGCGCAGGCGGAAAAGAAAGUCAGAUGUGAAAUCCCAGGGCUCAACCCUGGAACUGCAUUUGAAACUUCUUUUCUAGAAUCCGGGAGGGGUCAGUAGAAUUACUAGUGUAGAGGUGAAAUUCGCAGAUAUUAGUAGGAAUACCAGUGGCGUAGGCGCCUAACUGGACGGGAACUGACGCUGAGGUACGAAAGCGUGGGGAGCAAACAGGAUUAGAUACCCUGGUAGUCCACGCCGUAAACGAUGUAUGCUAGUUGUUGGAAUCCAUAGGGUUUCAGUGACGCAGCUAACGCGAUAAGCAUACCGCCUGGGGAGUACGAUCGCAAGAUUAAAACUCAAAGGAAUUGACGGGGACCCGCACAAGCGGUGGAGCAUGUUGUUUAAUUCGAAGCAACGCGAAGAACCUUACCUACACUUGACAUACUCGUCGGGAUUUCCAGAGAUGGAUUUCUUCGGUUCGGCCGGACGAGAUACAGGUGCUGCAUGGCUGUCGUCAGCUCGUGUCGUGAGAUGUUAGGUUAAGUCCUGCAACGAGCGCAACCCUUAUCGUAUGUUGCCAUCAUUAAGUUGGGAACUCAUGCGAGACUGCCGGUGUUAAGCCGGAGGAAGGUGGGGACGACGUCAAGUCAUCAUGGCCCUUACGUGUAGGGCUACAAACGUGCUACAAUGGCUACUACAGUGGGCAGCAAACCGGCGACGGUGAGCGAAUCCCCAAAAGUAGUCUCAGUUCGGAUUGUUCUCUGCAACUCGAGAACAUGAAGUCGGAAUCGCUAGUAAUCGUGGAUCAGCAUGCCACGGUGAAUACGUUCCCGGGUCUUGUACACCCGCCCGUCACGUCAUGGGAGUUGGUUCUACCUGAAGGUGGUGCGCUAACCUCGGAGGCAGCCAACCACGGUAGGGUCAGCGACUGGGACGAAGUCG
This 1425-nucleotide ribosomal RNA is filed under the name uncultured prokaryote. Its description in RNAcentral is "partial 16S ribosomal RNA". It matches the Rfam family "Bacterial small subunit ribosomal RNA". The record is from RNAcentral.